Molecule: small nucleolar RNA, 105 nt
Organism: Gossypium arboreum
Lineage: Eukaryota; Viridiplantae; Streptophyta; Magnoliopsida; Malvales; Malvaceae
Source: Rfam
GAUGACUGUAUGCCUCUUUGUAUGACUUCUCCAAAUACUAAAUCAGAAGUUAAUGCUUGUGCUUCUCUUCAUCUGGUGUGCAAGUUUGGCUCUUCUGUGACAUCU